UACAGAGGGUGCGAGCGUUAAUCGGAUUUACUGGGCGUAAAGCGUGCGUAGGCGGCUUUUUAAGUCGGAUGUGAAAUCCCCGAGCUUAACUUGGGAAUUGCAUUCGAUACUGGGAGGCUAGAGUAUGGGAGAGGAUGGUAGAAUUCCAGGUGUAGCGGUGAAAUGCGUAGAGAUCUGGAGGAAUACCGAUGGCGAAGGCAGCCAUCUGGCCUAAUACUGACGCUGAGGCACGAAAGCGUGGGGAGCAAACAGG
Molecule: ribosomal RNA, 253 nt
Filed under: uncultured Acinetobacter sp.
Lineage: Bacteria; Pseudomonadati; Pseudomonadota; Gammaproteobacteria; Moraxellales; Moraxellaceae
Description: partial 16S ribosomal RNA
Rfam family: Bacterial small subunit ribosomal RNA
Source: RNAcentral